CGGUGCCGUAGGCGAUGUGGAACGGCGCGGUGUUCAUGCCGCUGAUCGACGACACCGACACGAUCGAGCCGCGGGCGCCGG
Molecule: transfer RNA, 81 nt
Filed under: Mycolicibacterium phlei
Lineage: Bacteria; Bacillati; Actinomycetota; Actinomycetes; Mycobacteriales; Mycobacteriaceae
Also listed under: 1 other name
Description: tRNA-Met
Source: RNAcentral